UCCAGCUCCAAUAGCGUAUAUUAAGGUUGUUGCAGUUAAAAAGCUCGUAGUUGGAUUUCUGCCUUUUUUUCCCUUUCCUCCUCCUUUCUUUCUCCUCGGCGCCCUCGCCUCCUUCUGUUAACGCCUCUCGGCAUUUACUUGCCGGUGGUGGGCUCAGAUAAUUUACCUUGAGAAAAUUAGAGUGUUUCAGGCAGGCUAGGCCGGAAUACAUUAGCAUGGAAUAAUGGAAUAGGACUACGGUCUCGUUGUUGGUUUGAGGGACUGGAGUAAUGAUUAAUAGGGAUAGUUGGGGGCAUUAGUAUUUAAUUGUCAGAGGUGAAAUUCUCAGAUUUGUUAAAGACUAACUUAUGCGAAAGCAUUUGCCAAGGAUGUUUUCAUUG
This 380-nucleotide ribosomal RNA is filed under the name Pseudotontonia sp. RNAcentral describes it as "partial small subunit ribosomal RNA". It matches the Rfam family "Eukaryotic small subunit ribosomal RNA", at positions 584 to 975 of the family's 1831-position model. The record is from RNAcentral. Lineage: Eukaryota; Ciliophora; Spirotrichea; Tontoniidae.